Molecule: unclassified non-coding RNA, 272 nt
Filed under: Hevea brasiliensis (rubber tree)
Lineage: Eukaryota; Viridiplantae; Streptophyta; Magnoliopsida; Malpighiales; Euphorbiaceae
Source: RNAcentral
GGCAUGAUGUGCUUUAGGAUUGCUCGACGAAGUGGCUGACUGUAUCUUGUGAAAAUUGUUGAACAUACUGUUCUGUACUCUGUGCCCAGUAAAUGAAGCAUUUCCUCUAGCAGAAGAUGUGUGUUGUCCAUAAAAUCUGUACUUUGAAGAACAUAUCCCAAGCCUAACAAGCAAUCCAUGUUUUUCUCCUAAAUAUGUGCUUCUCUGACUUUUUUCAAGGGAUUGUGCAACUCUUUUAAUACUAGCUAUUCUAAAGAAUCUUGACAUGACGA